UGAGGAGCUAUGCAGUUGAUGGCUGCUAUGGGAGAGGAAUCACUUCCCUAAGGGAUGCAGCCACCAGAAGGCUGCCACUCUCCAAAAUGCCGAGCAAGCCAUCGGACAAGCUAGGGUCUCCGCCACUGUAAGAUCACGCCUCCGCCCUCUGAGGCUUGGUUGCCAACCCUCUGAAGUCGCAGGUCAUACUCCGAGCAUUGUCCCCUGAUCUACUUUCAGCCCGCGACUCACACUGGGCUCGUCGCUUCCCUCUCUACUUUGCUUCCGAAAAACCGAUUCUACGACAGCAUCCGGAACACAGUCGCAAAGGAAAAAAAAGGGGGGGGGGGUGCCGCAGGAAAACGACUACAAGCUGGGCUCACCUGGGGCUGCACAGUGCUCGACAGGGAGAACAUCUCUGGGCCCUCGGGACCGUACCCACCAGCCGGAACUGCUUCCUAUCUUCGGUUCAGCGGGAAGGGGCUGAGCCCUCUUAUUUUCUCGUUAUUUCCCCCUCGCUUUCCUCUCGGCUUCUUCCUUAUUCUUCCCAGAAA
Non-coding RNA from Peromyscus maniculatus bairdii (prairie deer mouse), 533 nucleotides. Lineage: Eukaryota; Metazoa; Chordata; Mammalia; Rodentia; Cricetidae. The record is from RefSeq and is a predicted model, not a curated record.